Molecule: unclassified non-coding RNA, 460 nt
Filed under: uncultured Bordetella sp.
Lineage: Bacteria; Pseudomonadati; Pseudomonadota; Betaproteobacteria; Burkholderiales; Alcaligenaceae
Description: partial 16S-23S ribosomal RNA intergenic spacer
Rfam family: Bacterial small subunit ribosomal RNA
Source: RNAcentral
UACGGGAGGCAGCAGUGGGGAAUUUUGGACAAUGGGGGAAACCCCGAUCCAGCCAUCCCGCGUGUGCGAUGAAGGCCUUCGGGUUGUAAAGCACUUUUGGCAGGGGUGAACGGCACGGGAUAAUACCGCGCAAUUGACGGUACCUGUAGCAAUAAGCGACCGGCUAAUCACGCCAGCAGCCGCGGUAAUACGUAGGGUGCAAGCGUUAAUCGGAAUUACUGGGCGUAAAGCGUGCGCAGGCGGUUCGGAAAGAAAGAUGUGAAAUCCCAGAGCGAACUUUGGAACUGCAUUUUUAACUACCGAGCUAGAGUGUGUCAGGAGGGAGGUGGAAUUCGCGUGUAGCAGUGAAAUGCGUAGAUAUGCGGAGAGGAACACCGAUGGCGAAGGCAGCCUCCUGGGAUAACACUGACGCUCAUGCACGAAAGCGUGGGGAGCAAACAGGAUUAGAUACCCGUGUAGU